RNAcentral lists this ribosomal RNA (116 nucleotides) under Citrobacter freundii. The record is from RNAcentral. RNAcentral also lists the same sequence under 5 other names. Lineage: Bacteria; Pseudomonadati; Pseudomonadota; Gammaproteobacteria; Enterobacterales; Enterobacteriaceae.
UCUGGCGGCUGUAGCGCGGUGGUCCCACCUGACCCCAUGCCGAACUCAGAAGUGAAACGUCGUAGCGCCGAUGGUAGUGUGGGGUCUCCCCAUGCGAGAGUAGGGAACUGCCAGAC